Molecule: ribosomal RNA, 484 nt
Filed under: uncultured bacterium
Lineage: Bacteria
Description: partial 16S ribosomal RNA
Rfam family: Bacterial small subunit ribosomal RNA
Source: RNAcentral
AUUGAACGCUGGCGGCAGGCCUAACACAUGCAAGUCGAGCGGAUGAAGGGAGCUUGCUCCUGGAUUCAGCGGCGGACGGGUGAGUAAUGCCUAGGAAUCUGCCCGGUAGUGGGGGCUAACGUCCGGAAACGGGCGCUAAUACCGCAUACGUCCUGAGGGAGAAAGUGGGGGAUCUUCGGACCUCACGCUAUCAGAUGAGCCUAGGUCGGAUUAGCUAGUUGGUGGGGUAAAGGCCUACCAAGGCGACGAUCCGUAACUGGUCUGAGAGGAUGAUCAGUCACACUGGAACUGAGACACGGUCCAGACUCCUACGGGAGGCAGCAGUGGGGAAUAUUGGACAAUGGGCGAAAGCCUGAUCCAGCCAUGCCGCGUGUGUGAAGAAGGUCUUCGGAUUGUAAAGCACUUUAAGUUGGGAGGAAGGGAAGUAAGUUAAUACCUUGCUGUUUUGACGUUACCAACAGAAUAAGCACCGGCUAACUUCGUG